Molecule: long non-coding RNA, 1683 nt
Organism: Felis catus (domestic cat)
Lineage: Eukaryota; Metazoa; Chordata; Mammalia; Carnivora; Felidae
Exons: 2
Source: RefSeq, a predicted model, not a curated record
UGGUGCUGAAGGGGAAGAGAGGCCUCCGCAGACUCAGCACCCCCUGGUGUGUGAGCCCCGGCGCCACUCCCUGACUUGUUUCCCUCCUGGAUUCACCCGUCCUCUCUCACCCCACCUUGCUCCUCGUCCCUAGGCACCCCUCACGUUUUAUGCAGGUCCCGGCGCACGUCUAUGAGAGCCCAGCUGUCCAGAGCAAAGGGCUUGGUGGCAGCUGCAGAGGUGACCCACACGGCACCAGGCAGCGGCCUCCUGAACGGAACUUCCAAAGCACCAGGCUGCCGCCUUCCUCUGCCACCAGCAACAGCCCCAGGCUGGGCACCGGCAGACAGCAGACGGGCUGGUGGCCCGGCACCCUGCCCACCCCUGGCUUGCUCAGCCACAGCAGGCUGAGGUCAGGCCUUAGUAUGGCCAGCCCCUCGGGGCCCCAGCCCACGAAGCGGCCCACAGCACCCAGAGGGCCUGGCACCGCCACCAGCCCCGUGAGCACUGCUGGGGCACACAGCUUCUCGUAAGCCCAGCCGUCUUCUCUGUGCAGGUGCAGGCGGCCCGCACCAUCCAGCACCACGAAGCGUCUGCCCGCUGGGUCCUGCGCCACCGAGCGCAGCCCAGCUGCCACCGUCAGGUGGCGCAGCGGCUCCAGCCCGUGUGUCAAGCGGCCCACGCACAGCUCGGCUCUCUUUUCCUGCGGGCAGGGGCGAGCAGGCCUGCAUUCAGCUAGGGGAGGGGGGGUGCUGGAGGAGAGGUAGUGCCCCUGCCUAGGGGAGCCAAGUGGAUCCGGGCUGGGGGCGUCCUAGGGACAGCGAGGGGAAGAAACGGGCCAGAAAAGAGGCCUCGAGGCAGGUGCCACAGGCAAGCCCCACCUUUUCCACGAAGUCACGGAGGCCUGUACGCAGGAGUAGCCAUAGCUGGCGGGCACGGGCGCGCGGGGUCAUGUUCUGCCACCGCAAGCUGCUGGUAAAAAGCCCUGGGACUGGCUCCGAAAACGACUCUGCGGGUCAGCAGUGGAAACACUGUCGGUGUGUGGUCUUGGGCCCCAAACUCUGGAGGCUGGAGGCCGCCAGGGGCCCUCCCGAGUGCCUCGCCAGGUUAGGGGACUCCCCACGGAGUGUUGUGUCGCGGCAGACAGAACCGGUGCCUGAGUGAGGCCUGUCACGUGGGGAUCUGGGGCGCCGAGGCCAGGCCACCUCACCAUUCUUCUCCUUGAGCAGCCCUGGAUCCGGGACGUCAUAGCUGUCGGCAUCAUACAAGUCGAGAUCCAGGAUCAGGCUGUCACCUUCUACUGAAAAGGGGUUGCUGACAUCUGACACUCCGGUCUCCAUUUUGGCCUCUGCAGGUCCGGGCGGCUCAACAGCCCCAAGGACCGUUGCUAGGAUACCGGAGGCGGUAGCCCCGCCCUUGACGCAGACCCCGCCCCACACGCAGCACGGAGCCCAGGUCCCCACUAAAUCACAGAAAUUUUUUAUUGGAAACAAACCAGCUGCAGCAAAGUGACACUCAGUGCACGCUGCCCAACGGGCAGGGUACGGGGGGAGGGUGGUACAGGUGGGCGUCAGGGGCUGGCCAAGCCCGGCGUGGUGACCACAGGGGCCUGCUUACUGGGUCUCGGGCCCUUUGGGCUGGAGUGUGCAGGCCCAGGCCUGAUCCGGCACGAAAUACAAAAAUAAACUCUGUAGUCCAGCUGUC